Molecule: long non-coding RNA, 2810 nt
Filed under: Mytilus galloprovincialis (Mediterranean mussel)
Lineage: Eukaryota; Metazoa; Mollusca; Bivalvia; Mytilida; Mytilidae
Source: RNAcentral
CACUUAUAUAUAGCUGAAGAAUUAAAGUAAACCUUUACAUAUUGCAGUGUCUUAAAUGGUGUCUCAUUGAUGUAUACUACACUUCUCUCUACUUGUAAAAGUAUAUAAUAACUUAUAUGUCAUUAUAAUUUUCAGUUCCUUGCUGUUCAAGUUUGGGCGGACUGAAGAUCUUUGGGGAUAGAGGAAGCUUAUGAGGAAGGAUAAUUGAUGUUACUGUGACCCAUUUUUUUUAUAAAUUGUGGCUAAUUUUAUGUCAUAAAGCUAUCACUAGAAUCAGUGGAGAGAUAUUAAUUCUCACGAUUUAAAAACAACAGUGAAUGUCAGAUCAGUUUCAUUUUUCUGUUCAUGUUACUUUUGCAUGGCAAUGUGGUGUCUUCAAUAUUUUGGAAGCUUUGUACAUAGUGACAUGUAAAGUUUUUUUGUGACAAUUUGUAUGAUGUACAAUAAAUUCAGAAAUUAUUGCAAUGUUUUAGCAAUGCAAAUAAUCCACAUAGUUCGGUAUUGCAAUACAUAUUUUCACUUAGAACUAGCAUUGUGAUAUUUGAUCCAUAUAUUUAUAUCUAGAUUUUCCUGAAAUGCAAUAUUUGAUCUUGCAGUAUUGUCCUUACUUUGAAAAUCGUAAAAAUUCUGAAUUUUUAAUAUUGGGGAUGGAACCAGUUGUACUUGCUAACAUACCGUGCAUUCCUGAGAGAUUGCAUUAUGUUUCUAAAGACAGCUUAUUUCAACCAUAUUCCAUCACUUUAUUCAAAAGUAGAUCUAUUGAAUAUUGAUAAACACAUUUUUUUAGCCCAAGACAACUGUUAGAGCCAUUUGCUACUUAUUUCUUUUCUAGAUUCCAUCCCUGUUAUAUAAAAUAAAUAAUCAUAAAGAUUAAAAUCUUAUUGUGUCAUGUGAUAAUGUAUUAAUAUACAUUUACAAACUUGCAGUACAUGUCUCUCAUUUUUUGUUUAAAUAGUUACCUACUACCUUAAUAUAUAAUACGCAAAUUGCAGUGGAGGAUUUUUUUUAUUUCUACAUUGGAUGUGAUAGAGGCAUUUACACUUUUGGAUAUUUAUGUAAAUUUUCUGGAAAUGACCCUAGAUAUUGGUCUGAAAUUUUCUGAUAAUGAUAUGUUGUACAAAAGCAAAAAAUAUAUAAAUUCAAAUCAUAUUACUAGUUCUAAGUUCUUUGACUACAGUUAUUCUGUUUAAGAAACCUAAUAUGUGUCAAAUAUUUAAUAACAAUCCAAAUUCAGACCUGUAUCAAGCACGAAUAUUGUGUCCAUGUUUGUCCAAACUGGUCAGUGUUGGACCUCUGCGGUCGUAUCCAGCUGUGCUUAGCGAAGCAAUUUAUUUAAAUUGUGAAUUUAAAAUAAAACUAUUUUUUUUUGUUAUUUUGAGUAAUGGCAAUCAAAUUUGCAUACAAGUAUGAUAUAUGCCUCCUGAAAAAUAGUUAAAUAUCGAAAUGUGGUCCUGCAACUUAUGGCAGUAUUUGUCAGAUUCAUUUUGCCAAUUAAGAUAUAUGAUGUGAUCAACAUCUUAUGAAGAAUUUUGCUAAAACUAAUUCUAUCAGCCACCUGGAAAUUCCAGAGAGAUCAGAGUUGAUGCUCUAUGUUGAAGGAUUCACUUAAAACUUUGACAUGAAGAACAGCUAUAAGAGUAUUAUUCCAGCACUUUAGAUUUAUAUUGUGCUUAGUGGUUUUAUGUCAUGAAUUAAUAUUCUUUGGAUUUUCAUUUGCAAUGUUACUGAUAAUGAUUUACAUUGAAAUAUAUAUACAUAUUGUUAUAUAAGCAUUGAAACUUACUCAAAUGGGAGUAGAAUAGCUGUGAAGAAUAAUAUGCCAUAUUUGUUUGUCAUGGUUUGCACAUUACUAUUUUGAUGAACAAGAAUGAAGCUGCAUAGUAACUUAUUAAAUCUCUAAUUUUUUGCAUGUUAUUAUAUUAAUUGGAUAAAAAUUUUAUCAAAUGAAAUAUCUCAUGAAUUUGAUGUAAAUAUGCUUAAGGAUUGUAUUUAUUCCAUGACUGUUUAAAAUGUAUUUUUAUGUAAAUAUAAUAUUCAAGUUUAUUAAGUAGAUUUUUUUUUUAAAGUAUGUAUAGUUCAAACCUUUUGAGUGCUAAUGUAUUAUUCAAAACCCAUUGUCGCAUUAUUGUUACUUUUACUCUCUUAAAUGAUAUUACUCAUUCAUACAAUUUAUUAUUGCUUAAGUGUAAAUUGUGUAUUUUCACACUUUUUCAAUCAGCUCGAAAAAUGCAGUACAUAGAUUAUUAAAAAAACUUUUAUCAAAUCAUAUUUUGGUAAAUGAUAAAAGGUUUGGCAGAGAAUAUGGAUUGCCUCACAGAUACAACAUAUUGUUCAUGUUGCUUAUUAUUCUAAAGGUUACUUUUCAUUUAAAUAAUCAACAAGCUAAUAAAAAAUAAGGUCUUUGUUUGACAUUCGCUCUACCACCAGCUUAAUUUCACCUUCACAUUUCAAUGACCCUAAGUUAUGAAUAUUCAUUACAUAAAGAUUUCUCCAAUCAGAAACCAGUAUGAGUGCAUUCAGAAAUUGACAUCAAAUUAUAUAUCUCAUUGGGCUGUUUUCCCUUUUAAAGAUGUAACCAGAAAAAAAUGGAAGCUAAAAUAUGAUUGGUUCAAAAUGUUUAUGUCUUGGGAUCAUUGAAAUGUGACCCAAUCUGCAAAAUUAUAAAAUAUUUAUGACAAUAGUGUAGUGAGUGGAAAACUGAGAUGUCAUUUUGAUCAGAUUAAUAGAUCAAAUAAUAUUUCUUAUCAUUGACACACUAAUGUUUUCAUUGAUUUUUUAACUAAAUGUUUGUUUUAAUAUCCAUAGAAAAU